Molecule: ribosomal RNA, 466 nt
Filed under: uncultured bacterium
Lineage: Bacteria
Description: partial 16S ribosomal RNA
Rfam family: Bacterial small subunit ribosomal RNA
Source: RNAcentral
GAUGAACGCUGGCGGCGUGCUUAACACAUGCAAGUCGAACGAUGAAGCCCAGCUUGUUGGGUGGUUUAGUGGCGAACGGGUGAGUAACACGUGAGUAACUUGCCCUUAACUCUGGGAUAAGCCUGGGAAACUGGGCCUAAUACCGGCUAGGAGCGCCUAUCGCAUGGAGGGUGUUGGAAAGAUUUAUCGGUUUUGGAUGGACUCGCGGCUUAUCCGCUUGUUGGUGAGGUAAUGGCUGACCAAGGCGACGACGGGUAGCCGGCCUGAGAGGGUGAACGGCCACACUGGGACUGAGACACGGACCAGACUCCUACGGGAGGCAGCAGUGGAGAGUAUUACACAAUGGGCGAAAGCCUGAUGCAGCGGCGCCGCGUGAGGGAUGACGGCCUUCGGGUUAUAAACCUAUUUCAGUAGGAAAGAAGCGAAAGUGACGGUACCUGCAGAGGAAGCACCGGCUAACUACGUG